UGAGACAGCCGUAGAGAAGAGAGCGCUGAACGGCUUCGCUCCUCCUUCCCCCGUCUCCUCCUCCCAGCUCCUCUCGAAGAGUCUGACACAAAAAAGUGAAGCUGCCAACAUGUGGUGCAGUAUGGAGCUGACAUCUUGCGCUGAUUUGGGACUCGAGUCUGUGCAGUAGUGAGCAAGAAAUGGAGGCACAAUAUCAAGGCCCCGCCCACACUCCCGCAGAAUCGGGGGUCUGUCAGUGCUUGACAAUGCAGACCAGGAGGGUAAAAUUCCCCAUUGUGCAGCUCUUUUGCUGUCUCUUUCUCUUUCUCAGUUAGAGGCAGCGCUUGUUAUAAGAGUAGAGUGACUGCCAGAUUGUGUCGCGCCAACUUUCCAGCUCAUGGGAUCCUGUGAACGAGUUUUUAUCUCCCCCAAACAGACACAUCCGACUGCCUCCUGAGGGCUUUUAUGAAGAGAUAAUUCAAUGAAACAUCUCCAUUAAGUCUCCUGAGCUACAGCAAUGCCAUUUUCCUCUGGGUUACCUGUCCUUUUUUAAUCGUGUGAGAGCUGCUAUUGGCUGAGCGGGAGAUAUUGAUCUGCACUCAUAUCUCUAUAGAACUGGACUGAGCAUCAUCCCUCUUUUAAAAGGUUCAUUCACAGGCCACAUCUGCAAAGCGUCUCAGCCUGCAUCUGCGGCAAACGUCGUCCUUUGUGGAGUCCGAUGGAGCGAAUGCAGAUAGAUUAGCCCAUUCCUACCCAUCUAGGUUUGUGUUACAGGAUCUCCAAUAUGUUUACCGCAAGAUUAGUUUCAGUAUCACUGCAUUGCAUGGAGGAAGUGUGCUGUGACAGAGCCGCGCGGAUUUCUAAUCUUGUCUGUGCAUAAAUCCUUGCCUUAUCUGGAACCUGCCUUCUCCUGCCAAAAACACUGAACCUUUACGAUUAGAACCGGCCCUCUGCGAAACUAUCCGUGGCCGUGCUGAUAGAGCCGCUGUUGGGUUUUGAAAACAGGAGCUGUUCAUUUUAAAGUGCCAGUCUGCUACAGCUGUCAGACUGAAAAGGUUUGGGUAAUUUUAGAGGUGUCAUCCUCAAUUUCAUAACAUUGUCACUGAUGCGUAUUUUCAGAGUGCUCCUCUAUCUUUUUACACUCCUAGCUGAUUUGGAAUAAAAAUAUAUA
Molecule: long non-coding RNA, 1150 nt
Organism: Megalobrama amblycephala (Wuchang bream)
Lineage: Eukaryota; Metazoa; Chordata; Actinopteri; Cypriniformes; Xenocyprididae
Exons: 5
Source: RefSeq, a predicted model, not a curated record